RNAcentral lists this transfer RNA (64 nucleotides) under Cavia porcellus (domestic guinea pig). It matches the Rfam family "tRNA", at positions 1 to 62 of the family's 71-position model. Rfam says of the family: Transfer RNA (tRNA) molecules are approximately 80 nucleotides in length. Their secondary structure includes four short double-helical elements and three loops (D, anti-codon, and T loops). Lineage: Eukaryota; Metazoa; Chordata; Mammalia; Rodentia; Caviidae. The record is from Rfam by way of RNAcentral.
AGGGAUUUAGCUCAGUGGCAUAAGCACCUGCCUUCCAAGCAGGCGGUCGUGAGUUCGAUCCCUG